GCUACCACAUCAAGGUGCAUUUGGCCGACGAGGCGUUGCUGCUGCCACUGACCGUGCGGCCCCGCGACACGCUGAGCGACCUGCGCGCGCAGCUAGUGGGCCAGGGCGUGAGCUCGUGGCGCAGAACCUUUUACUACAACUCCAGGCCGCUACCAGACCACCAGACGGUGCGCGAGGCGCGCCUACAGGACGGCUCCGUCUUGCUGCUGCUCAGCGACCCCAGGUGACUAGGGAUGUGAGCCAGGACCGGACUGGGGACCCGGUAGUAGGGGCUGGAGGACAUGGAGCCAUGAUUUUGGGGAUGCAAGGUGCUGGCUGAAGGAGCAGGCUGGGCCAGGGUCGCCACACCUCUCUCUCCCUGGGAGCCCAGCCUUAUUCCAGGUGCUGGGCUCCCAGGUAGAUGCGACUCCCUGGUCCUGCUGACGCCCACUGCUUCCCAGAUGCUGCCAUCCAGCAAGGAGCCUUGUGGUUUCUCUGUGGCCUUGGGACCCUCCCCGGGAGCCUCCACAGCCUGGAUCUUCUGCUGUCUCCUCAUCCAGGAGGCCCUCCAGUCAACAGGCACCGUUCCUUCUUUGGUGACCCACAGGGCCCCAGCUGUGAACAGCCCUGGCUCCAGGAUCUUCUGGGGCGCUGACUAAGGAGACUGAUCUGGGGGGCCUUGGUGAGCUGCAGCUUGCUGUGGACUCUGCCGCACAGCCCCAGUGUUGGGGUGCUGGACUGGGCCCUCGUGGGCCCCUGGUGCUUUGUACUGCAUGGUGAGCCCAGAAGGAAAUAAUGUUUUAAUUAAGAGUCGUACAGCCUCAGGGUGCAGAGCUGGGCAGGUGGGGAUUGGAUCGUGGCCUUGGGGAGCUGGGUUGCUGGGCAUGUGCGGUUGUGCCAGGCCCUGGGGGUCUGGGCCCCUCUCUGCCUCCCCAAUCUCCAUCGCUCAGCUGUAGGGGAAGCUGCCACCCUAGUGAGGAUCCUUGGCCUCAGCCCCGUGGAUGGCUGGCGCAGGGGGGAGGGCUGCAACUGGGGGGGGUAAGAGAAAGCAUUUUGACAUUUAACAAACACUAUGGAAAUUGAAUGCAAAUUGCAUGCAAAUCACCACUCAUUCCUUAAGCCGACAGCACUGGCGUGUUCAGAAAUAAUAAUGUAGGACCUGUCCCCUGGUGCCGGUCCGUCCUGCGGCCUUCCCUCCCCUGCCCUCCUCCUCCUUCCCUCCCUCCUUCCCUUCCAGCCUUUGGUCCAAGGCCUCCCAGCCUGAAAUGGAUGUAAACAGCAUGAUUGGCCGCCUGCAUCCAGUUUUUGUAGAACCAAGGCCCACGGAGGCAUCCGGUCAGGCCUGAGAUCCCAAAGCCACAGUGUGGAAAGCAUGUGUCCUCUCUCCAACAGUCAUCAGAAGCCACAGUGGAUAGAACUCGUGACGCACAGAGAAAAGUGACGGCUGAGGAGGCGCCAGGCCUGAGCUGGCUUACAAUUAACUCCGGGAGGUGUGGUCGAGGGUCAGGCUGCUGCGCAUGCGCGGCCCACAAGCUCACCCUGUGCCUCCUGAGGUCUCUGAAUUCUGGCCACAGGCCCCUCGGCCUUUUUUUUUUUUUUUUUUAAACAAACUCCUAUUUAUCCUACAAAGGCCUACUUUCAGUGCUCCAUUUUUACACAGCCAUUCUUGACGCUCCAAUAAUAGCCUCCAGUUCCCUCUGGGCCGGGCUAUGCUCCUGUCCUAGGCCUGAGUCAUGAGACCAGGUGGUGUCAGACUCAUUCCAUCUCUGGGAACUCAGCGCAGGAGCUCCAAGGACAUCCAGCUUGGGCUCUUGGUCCAGGGGGCAUUUUGAACGUGUAUCAAUAAAAGACUGAAAACGGAGCAGGUGACUGCAGUGACAGCUUCCUGCCCCGCGUCUUCGCACUGGCCUCCCCCACGACUCCUGGUGACCCAGCCAGCUGCCCACCCGUUUGCCAGGGCUUGGCGGGCCUCAGGCCCCACCCAGCCAGCAAGCCCCGGCAGAGGCGGAGGCAGGAGGUUUCGGUGAGACUUGGCAGCCUCUCCAGCCUCACGGAAGCCUGUGGCAUCCAGGGAGGGGCAGACUCCCGCCGUGGAGCCCACCCACGCUACGACCUGUCAUUCGGCGUGGGAGGGGGAAGAUCCCAUGACGCUCCCUCUGGAGCACUUGCUGGAAACCCAGCUGGGCUGCCAGAGACAGUGUGGCCUGUCCACACGUUUCUGUCUGUUUCCAUGUCUGAGUAUCAUAGGCAGUUUGCAAAAACUAGAGUGCUGGGGGCGUGGUCAGGGUGGAGCCCCGCCCAGACCCCCCAGUGAGGGGUGGGGGCGUGGUCAGGGUGGAGACCCUUUUUGGAGGCCACCCCCACCUCUCCUUGAGGUUUGUAGGCGGGACCUAACCUUGAGUGACAUCUAGCCUAAGCCUCACUCUUCUGCCUGAGCUAAAUCUUGCUGGUCCUCCCACACUGAGCCUCUUCUUGGGGCCACAGGACCUUUGCACACUUUGCUUGGCUCUUUAACCCCAGCCCCGCCCUUCGCAUUUUUCUUUUCCUUUGUGUUUAUUUUUUACUUGUGUUUCUGUUUUUGAGACAGGUUUGUAACUGUAGCCCAAGCUAGCCUCAAACUGUAACAAUUCUGCUUCAGGAUCGUGACUGUGGGGAUCCCAAGCCUGGCCUUUCAUCCUGUAACUUAAAAGCACUCUUUGGGGGAGGUUCCCAAAUGAUUCAUGUUCCCUUAGUUAAAACCUUUUUGUUUUGUUUUGUUUUGUUUUGUUUUUUCCCGAGACAGGUUUCUCUAUAGCUUUGGAGGCUGUCCUGGAACUCUCUCUGUAGAUCAGGCUGGCCUUGAACUCACAGAGACCUGCCUACCUUUGCUGGGAUUAAAGGUGCGUGCCACAGUGUGGCUGUAAUUUUUCAA
This is a long non-coding RNA of Mesocricetus auratus (golden hamster), 2890 nucleotides long. RefSeq lists it as uncharacterized. The transcript is spliced from 3 exons. The record is from RefSeq and is a predicted model, not a curated record. NCBI's taxonomy places the organism in Eukaryota, Metazoa, Chordata, Mammalia, Rodentia, Cricetidae.